This 165-nucleotide ribosomal RNA is filed under the name uncultured bacterium. RNAcentral's name for it is "partial 16S rRNA". It matches the Rfam family "Bacterial small subunit ribosomal RNA", at positions 355 to 511 of the family's 1533-position model. The record is from RNAcentral.
UAGGGAAUCUUCGGCAAUGGACGAAAGUCUGACCGAGCAACGCCGCGUGAGUGAAGGAGGUUUUCGGAUCGUAAAACUCUGUUGGUAGAGAAGAACGUUGGUGAGAGUGGAAAGCUCAUCAAGUGACGGUAACUACCCAGAAAGGGACGGCUAACUACGUGUCAG